UUCUGACUAAUUUUGUUGCAUUUAGCAUUACACUCACCUUUGUACUGUACUCUUAUAUUUUCCUUAUGUAUAUGUAAAUUAAUAGGGGCUCUUUAAAAACUGAUUUUGAUGUUCCUGGGUGUAAGUUUGAAGUGUUAAGCAGUAACCACUACAUAGGAAGGAGGUCUUUCAUGUCACAGCUGUUUUUUGAAUGAAAGGAAGGAAAAGAGGACUCUGGCUUACAGUUGAAUGUGGAUUUUGUUCUUGCAGAAUAAUGUCCCUUAGUGUAAGUCUAGACAACAUGACUUGUUUCUACUAGUUUUACUCAUGUCCCUGUCUGGAAGAUUUUGACUUCUGAAGUUUGGAACUACGUUUUUCUUCUGAUAUAAAAAUGUUAUUUGCAGUUUGUACUAACCAAAAUCAAGCAUUGCUUUCUAUUACACCAACAGUAAAAAAGUAGAUCAAGGCAUAUUAGGUAGGAAAGAAUGAUUUGCAGAAUUUCAUAGGGGGAUUUUUGCUGUUCUUUUCAGAUCAAUCAUGAAAUUUUGGAAGAAGAAAGUUAAUGCAUCCUUGGACUCCUGAAGGAAGAGCUUUCCUAAUGGAACCACAUUCAAGAUGCCAAUUGUCAGUGUGUCAGAUGGGAGGAGAAGGCUGCCUCAUGAGCACGGGAGAUCCUUCGGGUGAUGUGAGGGUACACAACAUAGAGCCAUGCGUGUAGCUGAAUUCUUUGUACAGUUUUUUGUUGGUCAUCUUAUGCUUUUGGAGAGUACUGUGAUGUUUAUUUUGCUCCUGUGAGCAAGUAAACUGGGUCCUUUUAUUUUUUCUGUGGAUAGUACUUUGUUGAUGAUGCUUUGUUUGAUGUUUGUUAGUAUGAACACAUAAACAUAGCAAGGAGGAAAGGUUUAGAGUUUUGUUAAUUCCCUCCCUAUUAUGGGUGACCCAUUAAGCACAGAAACCUAAGACAACCUGUAGGAGGACAUCUGAUAUUUAUUUAUAAAACUAUUUUAUAAAUUAUGUAAGUUAUAUUUAGCGUAGUAAUGUUCCAUCUUCAUCUUUUUCAAAUAAGUACUCAGUUUGCCUUCUCCCAGUGCUGUAUUUUUGCUUAUCCAUGGUUUCUCAACAGGGGUUCACUUGUACAGCAGGAAAGAUGAAACAAUGGAAUAAUGCUGGUUUUUAUGAUUAUGUACAUUAUGUAUGUUUCUAAUAACUCAAACAAUUUUUAUGAUGUUUGUGAAAGUUUGGAAAGCUGACAAAUUAAUUUGAAGUUGCUUUUUGUUUUCAUUUGAGGUAAAUAGUUCUCCCACUAUUUUAAUUUGGCAAAUCUGGUUUUUUUUAAUAUAGAUUUGUGCCUCUUGAAAAGUGUGUUUUAUGUCAGUGUUUGGCACAGACAUAUUGUUAGUCAUCCAUAAAUGAAAAUAAAUGAAAAAUGACAGGGGUUUUGUAAAUGCA
This 1428-nucleotide long non-coding RNA is filed under the name Cyanistes caeruleus (blue tit). RNAcentral's name for it is "lncRNA (ENSCCEG00000019419.1)". Lineage: Eukaryota; Metazoa; Chordata; Aves; Passeriformes; Paridae. The record is from RNAcentral.